CAGCAGUGGGGAAUAUUGGACAAUGGGCGAAAGCCUGAUCCAGCAAUGCCGCGUGGGUGAAGAAGGCCUGCGGGUUGUAAAGCCCUUUCGGUAGGGAAGAAAAGCGUACGGUUAAUACCCGUGCGUCUUGACGUUACCUACAGAAGAAGCACCGGCUAACUCCGUG
This 166-nucleotide ribosomal RNA is filed under the name uncultured bacterium. RNAcentral's name for it is "partial 16S ribosomal RNA". It matches the Rfam family "Bacterial small subunit ribosomal RNA", at positions 349 to 507 of the family's 1533-position model. The record is from RNAcentral.